Molecule: long non-coding RNA, 3161 nt
Organism: Bactrocera dorsalis (oriental fruit fly)
Lineage: Eukaryota; Metazoa; Arthropoda; Insecta; Diptera; Tephritidae
Exons: 4
Source: RefSeq, a predicted model, not a curated record
UCGCCUCCAAGCUGGUGCAUCCUGGGUAACGCUAAAUGACCUGCGGCCUUCACGGCCUAACAAACUCCCUGGACGACUUUGGCUUUGGACUGGUUUUUGAGAAACUUUUUAUUGGAUUUCGUAGAACCCUGGGCUGGUGGUGGCGGCAUUCUGACACCUGAGUAUGAUGAGGUGACACUCAUCAGAAAUAGCUGACAGGCUAAUGUCGCAACUGCCCCCGUCCCGUUAAAACCCUGGCAGGCCUCAGAGUACGGUCCCCCCCGUCGUCGUUAAGUUGACGUGGUAGGUGUAUGUUGAGAUGACUCCUUCUUUGCGCUGGUCGGCUUUGAACGUAUUGCCUCAUAAGGGCGUACGUCAACCCUCGCCUUGGCCUCAUCAUCGAGACAACCUUGGGACCAUAAAAGGCGACUACCUUUCCGAGGACGGAUAGCGGCUCUGAGUGGAGACCCUUCUUGCAUGGACAAUUUAAACAAUUUAAAAAAUGACGGAAGAGCGACGAAAGGAGGUGAAGGGCUGUCGAAAUCGGCACCUAGAUCCAACCCAGGCGGGUAUGCUGCUCCUAUGGCGACGAAACCGUCGCCGAGAAAUGGCAGCAACACGACAAAGACACCAGUAGGUGUCUCCUCAGGUAGCAGACUGGGGGUAACCGGCGCUAAACCGCCGGCAACAGAAGUAGCGAAGGGGGGAUCCUUCAUACGCGGCGGAAUCGGCAGCACUAGCAGGGGAAGCUCAGCUAGAGUUAUGAAGGGACCCACAGGGGGCAAAAGCAAAGCAGCUUUAGCUAGAAAGCUAAAGUCGGACCGUCGAUUGACGGCCAAAAUCGUGGAACGCUACGGUGACAAGCAUGUUGGCCAGGUUUCUGAGCAACAUGCUAGUACACUUGAGUGGGCCAAGAAAGUGCUGAGCGAAGACAAUAGGGAAGGACCGGAAACCAGCAGGACAGAACCGGCGGUCAAGCGGCAGAGGACGCACGAGGGAGAAACCUCCCUUGUUAAGAAGCCGCGAACAGGAAAGGCGCCAACCUUUAGCGAAAUCGCCAUAGGCUCCUGACGGCCAAGGAUGCAGCGCUGACAUAGUGACAGCGAAAUUGGAGUGCGACACCGGAGAUUUCUGGCUUAUCUCCGCAUACAUGCCACACGAUGAUGUGGUGGAGCCACCUCGCUUACUACUGAGGAGAACCUUAGCCAAAGCGUCUAAGACUGGCACUGACGUCAUCAUCGGUUCCGACGCUAACUCGCGGCAUCAGAUCUGGGGAAGCUCGGAUACUAACAGUAGAGGAUGGAGCACGAUUUGGAGGAACAUUUACUAAACAAUAUGAUGUGGGAUGACGACGACAGUGAAUUCAGAAAUUUUAUUUUUUUUUAAGAAUUUCUAGGGUGUAUUCCUGCUCGAAGUCUUAAAAACAAUUUAUGAGAGCCUUCAACGAGUUUAUUCAAAGAGUAUGUCCGGAAAGUAAUAGGACUGAAUUUCUUCCGCCGCGACUGUACUUCGGAGUGUGCGCGCAUCGACUGGUGUGGCUGGUCAGUUGUCUCCGAGCACUUGGAGAGUCAGAACAAACAUUUUCGAGCGAUGUGUUUCUAUGAGUAGUGCAAGCCAAAAAUGCAGCCAUCGUGUGACACGUUUGCGCAAAGUUUUGAACUCAGACAGCCGACUAAAUAUUUGUUUAAUUGCCCAGAUGUUAGAUUUAUCAAAAUCUGUGGUUCUUGACAUGCACUUAAACAUGCGCAAGGUGUGCGCGAAGAUGAUCCCAAAAGUGCUCACUGACGACCGGAAAUUGCGGCAAGUGGAAGUGUGCCAAGAAAAUGACCCCAAAUUUUUGAAUAACGUAAUCACAGGUGAAGAGCCAUUGAUUUUGAGUAUCUUUAAGGCAAGCAUUUUGAGACGACAGAGGGUAUCCAAGCAGCAUGCACCUCGGCUCUCUAGGCUAUACCGGAGAAUGCCUUCUGUGACGCCCUCAAUGCUUGGAAAUCUCGCUGUCAGCGCUGCAUCGACACAGAGGGAGCCUAUUUUAAAAGUUUUUAAAGGAUUGUAACGACUGGUUCAAUACACUUUUUUAAAUCGACUUAGUUUUAUUACUUUCCGGACAAACCCUUUAUUAAGACUGUGAUAGGUUUUAAAGCAAUCACUUUUUCAAUUGAGCGUGCAUGAAUGAACGUUGGCUUUUUGAACGCAAAUACCUCGAAUAUCCCUAAAGUCUUUGGUUUUACAUCUCCGUUGGUCUUUUGUAUGUUCUAGCUAAUGUUAAAAUCCAUUACAACGCAAAUAAACAGGUGGCGUUGCUUCAUGAUUUUGUCUAGAAGUCGUUGGAGAUGGACUACAUCCAUUCUCCUCUGCCAGAGUUGUUUUGGGAUGACCGCGGUUUUUUUUUUGUGCAUUUCCUGAGCUGAUCGCGCCAAAAGUUCAUCUUAUUGCGAAAUCCAGAAGAAACUGAAAUACCUCUCAGGAAACCGAAAUUUGACAAAGGCGGUAUUCCCGGAAGGCUACUACCUACGUGAAUUUUAAAGGGUGUGACAGGGCCAAUAAACUAAGCAAAAAGAAACGUUAUGGUAAAUAAUCUUGUCAGUAUUUAAGCAAAUUCUACGAUUUAUUCGUUUUGACAAAUGGACUGAAAGAAGUGCACGCAUCCGAAAAAAUAAAUUUGCCUUGGCUUCGGAAAUAUCAACCAGGGCAAAACAUAACAGUUGACGAACAAUUAUUUCGAACAAAAGCUACGUGCAAGUACAAAAUAUGCCUAAUAAAUCGAAUAAAUUUGGCAUCAAAUUCUGAUUUGCAUCAGACAUUACUAGCAGGUAGGUGUUGAAGUUUUUUGUUAGUUUGUUUUUAGUUUGCAAUAUUUCUUUAUUUAUUGAAUCUGCUUUUUGUUUUAAAAGCCUAACAAUAAGUUAUAAAAUCUUAAAUCUAUUUAAAAAACAGACAAACUCAAGCAAGUGAUUAAACUGUUUUAGUGAUACGUUGCUCUUCAGGAGGCAGGCAUAUCUCUUUUUUAGACGUGUUUAAUCGCAGGAAACCAAAAGCAUUAGCCAAAGGGUUUGGGUGAUAUCGCAGUUUAGAUAUAUAUUUAAUUGUACUGUCAUCUACUUAUUUCUUUACCAUAGGAAUGCCAAGAUCUUUAUGGAUAUUUUCAUUCCGCAUGUACCAUAGUGAACACGUGAUUGUUCUAA